Molecule: transfer RNA, 78 nt
Filed under: Candidatus Omnitrophota bacterium
Lineage: Bacteria; Pseudomonadati; Candidatus Omnitrophota
Description: Candidatus Omnitrophica bacterium tRNA-Pro
Rfam family: tRNA
About the family: Transfer RNA (tRNA) molecules are approximately 80 nucleotides in length. Their secondary structure includes four short double-helical elements and three loops (D, anti-codon, and T loops). Further hydrogen bonds mediate the characteristic L-shaped molecular structure. tRNAs have two regions of fundamental functional importance: the anti-codon, which is responsible for specific mRNA codon recognition, and the 3' end, to which the tRNAs corresponding amino acid is attached (by aminoacyl-tRNA synthetases). tRNAs cope with the degeneracy of the genetic code in two manners: having more than one tRNA (with a specific anti-codon) for a particular amino acid; and 'wobble' base-pairing, i.e. permitting non-standard base-pairing at the 3rd anti-codon position.
Source: RNAcentral
CGGGGCGUAGCGCAGAUUGGCUAGCGCACUUGCUUGGGGUGCAAGGGGUCGGCGGUUCGAAUCCGCCCGCCCCGACCA